GCAUAUCAAUAAGCGGAGGAAAAGAAACCAACAGGGAUUGCCCCAGAUAACGGCGAGUGAAGCGGCAACAGCUCAAAUUUGAAAUCUGGUCCCCAGGGCCCGAGUUGUAAUUUGUAGAGGAUGCUUUUGGCAAGGUGCCUUCCGAGUUCCCUGGAACGGGACGCCAUAGAGGGUGAGAGCCCCGUCUGGUCGGACACCGAGCCUCUGUAAAGCUCCUUCGACGAGUCGAGUAGUUUGGGAAUGCUGCUCAAAAUGGGAGGUAUAUGUCUUCUAAAGCUAAAUAUAGGCCAGAGACCGAUAGCGCACAAGUAGAGUGAUCGAAAGAUGAAAAGCACUUUGAAAAGAGGGUUAAAAAGUACGUGAAAUUGUUGAAAGGGAAGCGCCUAUGACCAGACUUGAGCCCGGUGAAUCAUCCAGCGUUCUCGCUGGUGCACUUUGCCGGGCACAGGCCAGCAUCAGUUUGGCGCGGGGGAUAAAGGCUUUGGGAAUGUGGCUCCCUCGGGAGUGUUAUAGCCCAUUGCGCAAUACCCUGCGCCGGACUGAGGUACGCGCAUUCGCAAGGAUGCUGGCGUAAUGGUCAUCAGCGACCCGUCUUGAAACACGGACCAAGGAGUCGUCUUCGUAUGCGAGUGUUCGGGUGUUAAACCCCUACGCGUAAUGAAAGUGAACGCAGGUGAGAGCUUCGGCGCAUCAUCGACCGAUCCUGAUGUUCUCGGAUGGAUUUGAGUAAGAGCAUACGGGGCCGGACCCGAAAGAAGGUGAACUAUGCCUGUAUAGGGUGAAGCCAGAGGAAACUCUGGUGGAGGCUCGCAGCGGUUCUSACGUGCGAAUCGAUCGUCAAAUAUGGGCAUGGGGGCGAAAGACUAAUCGAACCUUCUAGUAGCUGGUUUCCGCCGAA
RNAcentral lists this ribosomal RNA (898 nucleotides) under Zarea aleophila. Its description in RNAcentral is "LSU rRNA". It matches the Rfam family "Eukaryotic large subunit ribosomal RNA", at positions 38 to 965 of the family's 3401-position model. The record is from RNAcentral. Lineage: Eukaryota; Fungi; Ascomycota; Sordariomycetes; Hypocreales; Cordycipitaceae.